This 252-nucleotide ribosomal RNA is filed under the name uncultured bacterium. Its description in RNAcentral is "partial 16S ribosomal RNA". It matches the Rfam family "Bacterial small subunit ribosomal RNA", at positions 524 to 776 of the family's 1533-position model. The record is from RNAcentral.
UACGGGGGGGGCAAGCGUUGUUCGGAAUUACUGGGCGUAAAGGCUCGUAGGCGGCCAACUAAGUCGGAUGUGAAAUCCCCAGGCUUAACCUGGGAACUGCAUCCGAUACUGGAUGGCUUGAAUCCGGGAGAGGGAUGCAGAAUUCCAGGUGUAGCGGUGAAAUGCGUAGAUAUCUGGAGGAACACCUGUGGCGAAAGCGGCGCACUGGACCACAACUGACGCUGAGGCGCGAAAGCUAGGGGAGCAAACAGG